GAGCACUCCUACGGGAGGCAGCAGUGGGGAAUAUUGCACAAUGGGCGCAAGCCUGAUGCAGCCAUGCCGCGUGUAUGAAGAAGGCCUUCGGGUUGUAAAGUACUUUCAGCAGUGAGGAAGGUGGGUAUGUUAAUAGCAUACUCAUUUGACGUUAGCUGCAGAAGAAGCACCGGCUAACUCCGUGCCAGCAGCCGCGGUAAUACGGAGGGUGCGAGCGUUAAUCGGAAUUACUGGGCGUAAAGCGCAUGCAGGUGGUUUGUUAAGUCAGAUGUGAAAGCCCGGGGCUCAACCUCGGAAUUGCAUUUGAAACUGGCAAACUAGAGUACUGUAGAGGGGGUAGAAUUUCAGGUGUAGCGGUGAAAUGCGUAGAGAUCUGAAGGAAUACCGGUGGCGAAGGCGGCCCCCUGGACAGAUACUGACACUCAGAUGCGAAAGCGUGGGGAGCAAACAGGAUUACAUACCCUGGUAG
This 469-nucleotide ribosomal RNA is filed under the name uncultured bacterium. RNAcentral describes it as "bacterial SSU rRNA". It matches the Rfam family "Bacterial small subunit ribosomal RNA", at positions 331 to 793 of the family's 1533-position model. The record is from RNAcentral.